This 68-nucleotide transfer RNA is filed under the name Chorotypus fenestratus. Its description in RNAcentral is "tRNA-Pro". The record is from RNAcentral. Lineage: Eukaryota; Metazoa; Arthropoda; Insecta; Orthoptera; Chorotypidae.
CAAAGGUUAGUUUAAUAAAAAUAUUGAUUUUGGAGAUCAAUGAUGGAUUGAUUCCUUUCUAUCUUUGG